This 253-nucleotide ribosomal RNA is filed under the name uncultured bacterium. RNAcentral describes it as "partial 16S ribosomal RNA". It matches the Rfam family "Bacterial small subunit ribosomal RNA", at positions 524 to 776 of the family's 1533-position model. The record is from RNAcentral.
UACGUAGGGUGCGAGCGUUGUCCGGAAUUAUUGGGCGUAAAGGGCUCGUAGGCGGUUUGUCGCGUCGGGAGUGAAAACACCGGGCUUAACUCGGUGCUUGCCUUCGAUACGGGCAGACUAGAGGCAUGCAGGGGAGAACGGAAUUCCUGGUGUAGCGGUGAAAUGCGCAGAUAUCAGGAGGAACACCGGUGGCGAAGGCGGUUCUCUGGGCAUGUCCUGACGCUGAGGAGCGAAAGUGUGGGGAGCGAACAGG